Molecule: long non-coding RNA, 211 nt
Filed under: Daucus carota (carrot)
Lineage: Eukaryota; Viridiplantae; Streptophyta; Magnoliopsida; Apiales; Apiaceae
Description: long non-coding RNA (DCAR_LNC001328)
Source: RNAcentral
AAGGAGGGGCUAUUCAAGAUCUACAUCUAUGGAGGAAAGAUGUUAAAUCAAAUCUAAUGUUCUAAAGAUUUUCAUGGUGGACAUACAAGAAAAUUCGCAGGGAUUGUGCUACAAGCAUCACCAACACUGUUUUGGUCAUAUCUUGAGUUCUAGACAUCCGAUUUAGAUGAUCUUACAGCCCACGCGAAGCUUGUCAAAUUCCGGUUAAUUC